Molecule: transfer RNA, 72 nt
Filed under: Ictidomys tridecemlineatus (thirteen-lined ground squirrel)
Lineage: Eukaryota; Metazoa; Chordata; Mammalia; Rodentia; Sciuridae
Description: Spermophilus tridecemlineatus (thirteen-lined ground squirrel) tRNA
Rfam family: tRNA
About the family: Transfer RNA (tRNA) molecules are approximately 80 nucleotides in length. Their secondary structure includes four short double-helical elements and three loops (D, anti-codon, and T loops).
Source: Rfam by way of RNAcentral
AGGGGUGUAACUCAGUGACAAAGUGUGUGCUUAGAAUGCAAGAGGGCCUGGGUUUAAUUCUCAGCACCACUA